GUGCACAACAGCACACAAUACAAUACAAGUAAAAUGAUAUACAACAUAAUUUGGUUGUACUCAUCAACCUGCCCAUCUAAAAUAAGCACUGGGACCACAUAACUGAACCCAUAAAGCUGAAUGUUUAAGUCACACAUGCCCACUGGGCUAGUUUGCUUCCCACCACAACCCACCAGGAUGAUGUCUGAAGGAGCUAGAAAGUUCCCCUCUACCACUCCUGCCUCCCUCAACCGAGGUACAAUAUCUGCGCGCAGAGUAGUAGCCAUGGACCCACUAUCUAACAUCCCCUUCAGCUCAACUUUAUCCUGUACUAGCACAGAGGUGUAAAACAAACUGUCAUUCUGAGUAAUUCUCACUGUGUUCUGAAAAAUGACUGUGUUGUUCUUGGGUACUGACAAAAAUAAGAAUAAACAGAUUGGAUAUCAUCAUCACUGGAGGAAAAAUUAGACUGCCCCACAUUGCCCUCCUCAGAAUGGAGGUUUUCUAGUUUUCCUGAUACCUGCCGGUCUGUCCACAUCCAGGGCUCUGUUGUUGCCCAGUCUCACUACAGUCAAAGCUCAUGUGGCCAGGAGAGAAGCACUUGAAGCACAGCUGGUGCAUCUGACAGUGAGCUUUGGUCCUGUGAUUAGUGCUUCCACAGACAGCACACUCACGCUGGCGUUUGGGGAACUGUUUAUGGGGCCCUCUGUUCACAGACUGAGUAUUACUGACAAGUGCCUUCUCUAACAUACUCAACACUUUCUCUAAUAUCCCACUCUUAGAUAAAGGUGGGGCCUGUUCUGGUUCACGGCCACAUGGAGAAAAGGAUGACACCUUAGGUCUGUUCACAGGACCCACUUCCUCCUGGGGGGAGUCAAAGACGGCAGCCACCUGCUGUGAAAGUUGUGUUCUACUUGCUUUACACUCCCUUAACAGUUCAUCCAAACGAUCCUGUACCUCACUCGCUGUCCAGUCAUAAAGUGGUUUGCUUUUGAACACUUGGGCCAACUCUUUAUCAGGACAGUUGCGUACAAACAUGACUGCCAACUCUGAGCACUUAUUGGGCAAGGUCCUACCCUUUCUUACAAGGUGCUGUUCAGCUGCCUCUGCAGCUUUGUUAAGCCUAAUCCAGAAAUCUAGUGGACCCUCAUUAGCAUAUGGUUUGAUUGAAUAGAAAUCAGCUAAUGGCAUACCUGAGCAGACAGUAUCCCCAAAGUGUUGCUUGAGAACACUGAACACUGCCCUAACAUCUGUGACAACAGGGCUGUUACGCAUCCAGACUUUGGUCACAUCCCGUGCCCUCCCCAUGAGCCUAGACAUCACCUCCCCAACAUUCUCAGACCCAGUGUAACCCCUCUUCUUUAGGUAGACUUCCAUUAGCUCCACCCACUCCAGGACAGAGUACUUAUCUGAGCCAUCGCCCCUAAAGAAAGGUGGAGGACUAACAUCUGACUUCACAACCAGAUUCAGCUUGGACGCAUCAAUAAAAGUUGAACCACAUUGAUCAGACAGGGGAAACUGCUGGGGUAGGUGAGGGGGACGGGCAGGAGAAAGACUUGAAGCCCCAGGCUGCAGUAAACUUGCUCUGAUUGGUUCAGAGAUAGGAGAAUCUAUAUGCUUAAUAAGGUCACUAAACUGAUUCAGAGGUGUCCCAUUAUUACUGAGGACUGGGGAUGAUGGUACAUCAAAAGAUAGAGGUGGGAUACCCUGCUCAGGUGGAGUAAACAGCCUACCCCUCCCAGUGCUUUUAAAGGACUAGGAAACACUCUACUCCCAGGAGCUGACUGUACAAAUGGUGUAAAUGCAAGGGCACCCCUCCCUCUACCCACACUAAAAUCCCCAGCAUAGCUCAUUUUAUGGACUUGAGAGUCUUCCAUGGCUCAACAGAGCACUAAAAUACAAUGUAAUUUACUGCAUUUAAAUACCAAAAAAAUGCAAUAAACAAAUUCCUCCAAAACAUACAAAUAAACACAAAUACCCUUAUCUAGUGAAUAUGCUACAUUCACCUUCACUAUUUACAGUAUAUAUUCACUUAUAGCAAACCAUUAACAAGAGCGCAUGCGCAGAUCGCGCACCUCCUCCACAUGCACAGCUCCGAUAGGCGGCAGGUCGCGCACCUCCUCCACAUGCACAGAUCCGAUAGACGGCAGGUCGCGGCACCAGUUUAUAGCGUGGUUCGUUCUGCAUUGUGUAAUUUAAUGAGGACACUGCGACAACUGAAGGUCUGCUU
This 2209-nucleotide long non-coding RNA is filed under the name Salmo salar (Atlantic salmon). RNAcentral's name for it is "lncRNA (ENSSSAG00000117496.1)". Lineage: Eukaryota; Metazoa; Chordata; Actinopteri; Salmoniformes; Salmonidae. The record is from RNAcentral.